UUAGGACCCACGUACACACACACUGACUACUUUAGGACACACAGACCCACACACACACACUGACUACUUUAGGACACACAGACCCACACACACACACUGACUACUUUAGGACACACAGACCCACACACACACACUGACUACUUUAGGACACACAGACCCACACACACACACACUGACUACUUUAGGACACACAGACCCACACCCACACACACACACACUGACCCCCCCAAAAAAAUCAGGACGAUUGAAAAACAAAUGUUGAAAAAAUAAAACAAGAUCAUCGCUAUCGAAAUAAAACCCUAUAUAUCCAAAAUGAAAACGUUUUUUAAAUAAAUGGGAGGGAGAAAAAAACUACCAUUUAACCAUUGUCUUGGCAGACGUUACUACUGCCAUUGUUGUUCUGCGCUUUAAAAUCGCUUUUUUGGGAGAGGUAUUUCAUGUGUAAUAUUGUUAUUAUAUUAGCUAACUACAGUAGAUGGAAAUUUGAUUAUGUUGUAUGUUUAACACUAUGCUGAACCUGUUUUGUACAUUUCAUUGACUCGCUGUCUUCAUUGGUCAAAAUGUCUUUAAGAUAACAGUAUAAGGUGUUCGUCAGGGUUGGGGUCCAUUCCAAUUCAGAAAGUUAACCAAAUUCCAAAAUGUUCCUAGUUAAAAUACGUUGCAGAGAAUUGGAAUGGAAAUUGACCCCAAAACCUUGGUGGGCCGUCUUUAUCGCCUCAUGACCAGAACAUCGACAGUCAUUUUUUUUUGUUCGUUUCCUGAUGAUUGUACAUGUUGAGUCACCGCCAGUCGUUGACACCACGGGCGCGACUGUCCUGCUGCUUUUUAGAGGUUUGUUUCUUCCUGGUGUGUUUCAGUUAGAAGAAGACACACGGUAACAAACAAAAAACUACUGACGCUGAGGUUGAGCGAUCAGUCAUCUUACGUCAUCUUAUGACGUGACACAAAGCGGCAUAAACAUUCGUAAACCUCUUAUUUUUAUUUUUUUUACGGCUCUCUUGUCUUGCGUCGUACGUGAUUCUAUCGGGUGUAAUGUGGUGGCGGUGUUGCCUAUAGCAACCUUCCAAGCGCUCUCCACGCCUGCAUCCUGAAAGGGAAAGGGCGAUACCUAGUCCCCCUAGCCUAAUGUAGAGGUCAAAGGGCGAUACCUAAGUCCCCCUAGCCUAAUGUAGAUGUCAAAGUCGUGGACUUUUUAGAACACAGGAAGUCUUUAAAUCUAUGAACACUCUGUCUUAAUAAUGGGACUGACUGGCUACUUGUAAGGGGGGCUGCCUGCGUUCUGCUAAGUCAUGUUGCAGAGUUGGGUAGCCCUGAAAAUUGCACUGUCAUUUGUCACGUCACAUGCCCCUGAACAAGGCAGUUAACACACUGUUCCUAGACCGUCAUUGUAAAUAAGAAUUUGUUCUUAACUGACUUGCCUAGUUAAAUAAAAAUAAAAAAAUUGGAUAAAAAGCUGAGCGACUUAAGAGACCGAGAUGGUUAUUUGAAUCUGUAUAUUGAAAGAGUUUCUGAAAAGUGUUUCGUGUUCGAUGUAUGCCCAUUAUAUACCUAUAUUAUCUUGUAAACCAUAUAAUGAUUUGCAUGUAUGAAUGGCUUUUAGAUGUCAAACUAGUUACGGCUUCAGAAUGACAUAGGAAAGAGUUGUACAUAUAUAGCCUUAUAUCUGUGUCCACUGGGAAAGAGCUGUACAUAUAUAGCCUUAGAUCUGUGUCCACUGUUGUCACGUGGGCUAUUAUAAAGGCUCAUUCUAUACUAAUCCAUUGCUGUUAUCACUGACACAAGUUGUUCUACUUUUCAUCCUUCUCACGUUUUGAUUGACAUUCACGCCUCUGAUCAGUGCAAUUCUUUAUGGGGGUUGGAGAAAAAAAAUAUAUAUAUUCUGUUUAAUCUAAGUUAAAUAUUUUAGUUUUUCUAUCGUCUCCGUUUUGAUUUCUUCUGUCUUUUUCACAUGAACCUUUUAUUGAGUGAUUUAAAUGAUAUAUAUAAUGUUUUCUAGGGCAUUAAAAAGAUGAUUGUGCUAAAG
This 2023-nucleotide long non-coding RNA is filed under the name Salmo salar (Atlantic salmon). Its description in RNAcentral is "lncRNA (ENSSSAG00000109614.1)". Lineage: Eukaryota; Metazoa; Chordata; Actinopteri; Salmoniformes; Salmonidae. The record is from RNAcentral.